This 492-nucleotide ribosomal RNA is filed under the name uncultured bacterium. Its description in RNAcentral is "partial 16S ribosomal RNA". It matches the Rfam family "Bacterial small subunit ribosomal RNA", at positions 29 to 507 of the family's 1533-position model. The record is from RNAcentral.
AGUGAACGCUGGCGGUAGGCCUAACACAUGCAAGUCGAACGGCAGCACAGUAAGAGCUUGCUCUUACGGUUGGCGAGUGGCGGACGGGUGAGAAAUACAUCGGAAUCUACUUUUUCGUGGGGGAUAACGUAGGGAAACUUACGCUAAUACCUCAUACGACCUACGGGUGAAAUCAGGGGAUCUUCGGACCUUGCGCGAUUGAAUGAGCCGAUGUCGGAUUAGCUAGUUGGCGGGGUAAAGGCCCACCAAGGCGACGAUCCGUAGCUGGUCUGAGAGGAUGAUCAGCCACACUGGAACUGAGACACGGUCCAGACUCCUACGGGAGGCAGCAGUGGGGAAUAUUGGACAAUGGGCGAAAGCCUGAUCCAGCAAUACCGCGUGGGUGAAGAAGGCCUUCGGGUUGUAAAGCCCUUUUGUUGGGAAAGAAAAGCAGCAGGUUAAUCCCCCGCUGUUCUGACGGUACCCAAAGAAUAAGCACCGGCUAACUUCGUG